UCUCUCAAGUAUCACUCCUUUAAAUCACCAUAAUCGAAAUUCCCAUUUUCUCGGAUUUUCCUCCACUUUCCUUCCCAUUUUUGCACCAUCCGUACAACGCUAGAACCCUAAGCCUUUUUCCCGCGACAAUUGCACAGCUCAUCUCAGCUCGCCCCACUUUUAGUUGACAUCAUCAUCAUCAUCUUGGAAACCCUUUUGACAAAUCUAUUCUUUGAAGCUGUUAUGGCUGCAAAAUUUUCAGACAGCAGUUUUGAUGGUUCUGUAACUACUGACUUGGACGGUGAAAUAUCCAAACCCUAAAUUCAAACGAAACUAUUUUUUCCCCUUCUGGGGAUUAUCAUCAUCAAUGCAAUACAGUGUGGGGAAGCCCAUAUUUCUCUUUCUUUAAAUCAGACGACCAGAUCCACACACACACACAAAAAAAAAACCCUAAAGUUGAGAUUUUUAAAUCAUUGGGUGGUGAAGAAAGAGGCAUGAGACUGUUGAUAUGGAGAUUGAGAAUAUUCAGAUGUUCCCCGAAAUCGGUCGGACCGGUGAAAUGCUCCGAGAUGGCAUGAAGAAGGCUGGUAACAACACUAACGGUAACAACGGUAUCGCUGCCGGAGAUAUCGGAAACCGUCUAAGCCGUUGGCACCACCAUUCUUCCCGGAUAAUUAGGGUUUCAAAAGUCUCCGGCAGGAAAGACCGGCACAGCAAGGUCUGGACUUCAAAAGGUCCACGUGACCGGCGGGUCCGGUUAUCGGUCCCCACAGCUCUCCAGUUCUAUGACCUCCAAGACCGGUUAGGAUACGACCAACCGAGCAAGGCGGUCGAGUGGCUAAUUAGGGCUGCCGCCGAUGCCAUCUCCGAGCUUCCAUCUCUCAACGCUACUUUUCCGACCGACGACGAGAGAAUCGCCGGCAACGAAAACGUACUUGCUGAAAACCUGACCCAGAACCCGAACUCGAUUCAGGAGCAGACAGCUUCAUUGUCUAAAUCUGCUUGUAGCAGCAAUUCCGAGACGAGCAAGAACUCGGGUCUGUCGCUUUCCCGGUCUGAGCUCCGGGAUGAGGCCCGGGAGAGAGCCAGAGAGAGAACGGCGAAGGAGAAGGAGAGAGAAAGCCACACCGUGAACGACAACAGCCAUGGCCACGCUUCUUUCACUGAGCUGCUCACCGGUUCGGUUCACGCAGGAUCGGAGACCGGUUCUGUUAACCAGAGCCGGCAAUGGAUGGCUUCGCCGGCUCCAAUGGAGUAUAUCAGUUCGGGUCUGCUUCUAGGGUCGGGUCAAGCUCAGUUCCCUUUUCAGACCGUCUCUUUGCCAUUCUCAACAAUGUCUGAUCAGCAUCAGCAUCAGCACCCUCACCAGGAGUUUUCCUUCGUUCCUGACCAUCUGAUAUCCCCAGCUGUCGGCGCAUCCUUCAAUCUUGACUUCAACAUACCAUCUUCCUCCGCCAUGGCUGGUUUCAAUGGUUCCAACAGGGGGACCCUUCAGUCCAAUUCUCAAAAUCAUCAAUCUUUCCUCGUUAAUCUCCAGAGGUUUUCUUCGGAUGGAGGUGGAAGUGGGGGCGGUGCACCGUUCUUGAUCGGUGCACUGCCCGCAGAGAAUCACCACCACAACCUCCAAUUUCAGCUUUGCAAUGAAAAUGGAUGCAGAAACUCGGAGCAAAAGGGCAAAGGAAAGAGCUGAAAAUAUCCUCCACUUUGGGCAACCUGAUUGUUCAGGGGGAUCGCGAAUCUCUAAACUAUGGAACAGUAGCAGCAGGAUCCAUCAUCGCCAAGCUCAAUUGUGUAUUCUGAGUUUUUUUGUUUUUGGCAUCAAGAUUUCAUCUGUGUGCCACGUUUUUUACCCGUUUAGUUGAAAAAACUGGUUUGCUUUCAAGGUAUUGGCGAUUCAUACGUCAUAUAUACAUAUGUACAUGUAUAUGAUACAUGUGUAAUAAGCAUGUGUGUAGUGUGAAGGAAUAUUCCCUGUUUCCCAAAAUGUUCAUAUGUUUUCAUGGA
This is an RNA transcript of Tarenaya hassleriana, 1983 nucleotides long. It is a transcript of the gene named transcription factor TCP2, with no coding region annotated. The transcript has 4 exons. The record is from RefSeq and is a predicted model, not a curated record. NCBI's taxonomy places the organism in Eukaryota, Viridiplantae, Streptophyta, Magnoliopsida, Brassicales, Cleomaceae.